UUGAGAGUACAUUAGAGAGAGUGUAGAGACUAGUGAGAGGAAAGUGUAGAGAUUUGAGAGAGAAAGAAGAGAUUAGAGUGAGAAGAGGCAUUAAUGCCAAAUAUUCUCUAAGAUUCACAAAUCUUUCCAAAGAUUAGCCAAAUCCUUCUAUAUCUUGCAAAGGAUUUUCCUCUCUCUUCUCCACCCCAUUUUCGAUCUCUCUCCCUCUCCCUCAUCUCUCACUUCACUUUCCACCAUUGUUAGCCAUUGAUGAAACCUUCGAAGCUUCACCCAAGUAUGCCAAACACAUAAAUCACUACUUAAAUCCUCCAUAAACACAUCCUAUCAACUUAAAUUCAAGAGAAUCCUUGAAGAUUGGUUUCAAGAAUAGUGAGAGAAAAUUUGGAUAAUUGGUGAAAACUUGGGUAAGUGAUCUCCAUAUUCAUAGAUAUAAUUUGUAUGAGUUUGUAUAUGAGUUUAUUUGAAGGAUUGAAGCAAGAAAUCACCCCCUCUCUUAUUCUUCAUAAUUUUCGAAAAUUUGGGUGUUCUACCCUUCAAAAAUUUUUCUUCUUCUUU
This 555-nucleotide long non-coding RNA is filed under the name Salvia miltiorrhiza (redroot sage). RNAcentral's name for it is "long non-coding RNA (SMIL_LNC013637)". Lineage: Eukaryota; Viridiplantae; Streptophyta; Magnoliopsida; Lamiales; Lamiaceae. The record is from RNAcentral.